Molecule: ribosomal RNA, 505 nt
Filed under: uncultured bacterium
Lineage: Bacteria
Description: bacterial SSU rRNA
Rfam family: Bacterial small subunit ribosomal RNA
Source: RNAcentral
AGAGUUGAUCAUGGCUCAGGAUGAACGCUAGCGGCAGGCUUAAUACAUGCAAGUCGAGGGGCAGCAUGGUGUAGCAAUACACUGAUGGCGACCGGCAAACGGGUGCGGAACACGUACAGAACCUUCCUUCGAGCGGGGAAUAGCCCAGAGAAAUUUGGAUUAAUACCCCAUAGUACCUUGAGGCGGCAUCGUUUUAAUGUUAAAGAUUUAUCACUUGAAGAUGGCUGUGCGGCUGAUUAGGUAGUUGGCGGGGUAACGGCCCACCAAGCCUGCGAUCAGUAACUGGUGUGAGAGCACGACCAGUCACACGGGCACUGAGACACGGGCCCGACUCCUACGGGAGGCAGCAGUAAGGAAUAUUGGUCAAUGGACGAAAGUCUGAACCAGCCAUGCCGCGUGGAGGAUGAAGGUCCUCUGGAUUGUAAACUUCUUUUAUAUGGGACGAAAAAAGGGCUUUCUAGCUCGUCUGACGGUACCAUAUGAAUAAGCACCGGCUAACUCCGUG